GAACGCUAGCUACAGGCUUAACACAUGCAAGUCGAGGGGCAGCAUGGUCUUAGCUUGCUAAGGCCGAUGGCGACCGGCGCACGGGUGAGUAACGCGUAUCCAACCUGCCUUACACUCUUGGACAGCCUUCUGAAAGGGAGAUUAAUACAAGAUGUUAUCAUGAGUAAGCAUUUUCGCAUGAUUAAAGGUUUACCGGUGUAAGAUGGGGUUGCGUUCCAUUAGAUAGUAGGCGGGGUAACGGCCCACCUAGUCUUCGAUGGAUAGGGGUUCUGAGAGGAAGGUCCCCCACAUUGGAACUGAGACACGGUCCAAACUCCUACGGGAGGCAGCAGUGAGGAAUAUUGGUCAAUGGACGAGAGUCUGAACCAGCCAAGUAGCGUGAAGGAUGAAGGUUCUAUGGAUUGUAAACUUCUUUUAUACGGGAAUAAACGAAUCCACGUGUGGAUUUUUGCAUGUACCGUAUGAAUAAGGAUCGGCUAACUCCGUGCCAGCAGCCGCGGUAAUACGGAGGAUCCGAGCGUUAUCCGGAUUUAUUGGGUUUAAAGGGAGCGUAGAUGGGUUGUUAAGUCAGUUGUGAAAGUUUGCGGCUCAACCGUAAAAUUGCAAUUGAUACUGGCAGUCUUGAGUACAGUUGAGGUAGGCGGAAUUCGUGGUGUAGCGGUGAAAUGCUUAGAUAUCACGAAGAACUCCGAUUGCGAAGGCAGCUUACUAACCUGUAACUGACAUUGAUGCUCGAAAGUGUGGGUAUCAAACAGGAUUAGAUACCCUGGUAGUCCACACGGUAAACGAUGAAUACUCGCUGUAGGCGAUAUACAGUCUGCGGCCAAGCGAAAGCAUUAAGUAUUCCACCUGGGGAGUACGCCGGCAACGGUGAAACUCAAAGGGAUUGACGGGGGCCCGCACAAGCGGAGGAACAUGUGGUUUAAUUCGAUGAUACGCGAGGAACCUUACCCGGGCUUAAAUUGCAACCGAAUAUGGCGGAAACGCUAUAGCUAGCAAUAGCGGUUGUGAAGGUGCUGCAUGGUUGUCGUCAGCUCGUGCCGUGAGGUGUCGGCUUAAGUGCCAUAACGAGCGCAACCCUUGCCGAUAGUUACUAACAGGUCAUGCUGAGGACUCUGUCGGGACUGCCAUCGUAAGAUGUGAGGAAGGUGGGGAUGACGUCAAAUCAGCACGGCCCUUACGUCCGGGGCUACACACGUGUUACAAUGGGGGGUACAGAGGGCUGCUACCACGCAAGUGGAUGCCAAUCCCAAAAACCUCUCUCAGUUCGGAUUGAAGUCUGCAACCCGACUUCAUGAAGCUGGAUUCGUUAGUAAUCGCGCACCAGCCACGGCGCGGUGAAUACGUUCCCGGGCCUUGUACACACCGCCCGUCAAGCCAUGGGAGCCGGGGGUACCUGAAGUGCGUAACCGCAAGGAGCGCCCUAGGGUAAAACUGGUGACUGGGGCUAAG
RNAcentral lists this ribosomal RNA (1452 nucleotides) under uncultured organism. RNAcentral's name for it is "SSU rRNA". It matches the Rfam family "Bacterial small subunit ribosomal RNA". The record is from RNAcentral.